GUGUGUAGAUGGCAGAAGGAAACGAUGAAAGACACAGGUGACAACGGAGCUGGGCAGAGACACCAGGACACCGACAAGCCAGAUGUCUUUCAGGUGGCUAUAAUCAUAAACGAUUUAGGCAAGUAAUAACCAUGAUGAAGAAUAGUCGUAGGAUACUCACGAUAGUUUUCAUAUACCAAGAAAAAUACUCGGUAUUCCUCCAACAAUUUCGAAUUUUGGAUUUAAAACCAAUAUAAGGAAAAUUGAUGAAAGACAUAGAAGUCCUCAACCAGCAAAGAUGGAGGGAGUUAUAGGCUCAGAAGAGGGCACAAUGGAUUUAGUAGAAGGAAGAAACCGCAACUUAAAUAUUAGUUCCGUUAUAUUGUAAUAUUUGAAAUUUAGAUUCCGAUUCCGAUUCUGAAUUUAAAUUGAACAUUCCUUGUAGAAAUGCAAAUCCUAUUUAAAAUGCUGCCCCCGAAUCUGGAAACAGUUAAUUAAUGUGAGACGCAUGACUGAAACCACAAAAAUUAUCAUAAGCAAACCUGCUGAAAUUGCUAAUUCAGAUAUUAACGAAUUCAUUAAAAAUAAAACAUUCAAAGGGAGACUGCGGUUAAUUGGACAGAUCCCAGAUGACAAAUAUGUAUACCCAAUGGAGGUGCACGUGGAUAUUAACAGAUGACAGACAGCUAGACAAUUGGACAGUUUCUAGUCUCGCAAUGCUUUCAAUAAUCGAUCCAGUCUCCAACGACAGGCCACGAAACAAUAAUUAUAAAUGCAUAUUUUAUGGAAAAAAUUGUUAUAAUCGCAUAAAUUGCAUAGGCAUUUCACUAAAUGCUUCCGCUACGAGCUAAAGCUAAAAAAAAUAAAUAAUAAAAUAAAA
This is a long non-coding RNA of Drosophila grimshawi, 859 nucleotides long. RefSeq lists it as uncharacterized. The record is from RefSeq and is a predicted model, not a curated record. The transcript has 3 exons. NCBI's taxonomy places the organism in Eukaryota, Metazoa, Arthropoda, Insecta, Diptera, Drosophilidae.